Molecule: ribosomal RNA, 256 nt
Filed under: uncultured bacterium
Lineage: Bacteria
Description: partial 16S ribosomal RNA
Rfam family: Bacterial small subunit ribosomal RNA
Source: RNAcentral
UACGUAGGGGGGCGAGCGUUGUCCGAAGUUACUGGGCGUAAAGCGCGUGUAGGCGGGUUGCCAAGUCCGCUGUGAAAGCCCGAGGCUCAACCUCGGAGGGUCGGUGGAUACUGGCAGUCUUGAAGGUGCGUAGGGGGAGGAUGGAAUUACCGGUGAGCGGUGAAAUGCGUAGAGAUCGGUAGGAACACCAGUGGCGAAGGCGGUCUCCUGGAGCAUUCUUGACGCUGAGACGCGAAAGCUGGGGGGAGCGAACGGG